GCUCACAGUGACACUGCAGUUAGGGGCAAACCUCCCUCUGCCCCCGCUCUGCUGUCCUCAGAAAAGAUCCUUUGUACCAGGCCCAACGGGUGCCUCAGCAUGAGGGGUUUUAGCUUUCACUGACACAAACUUUAGCCAAUAGGACCCUCACCUAUGCAUGGACAGGAAGGGAGAAAACUGCAGGAAAUAUCUUUGGUUCAGGGGUAGAAGUUCCUAAAUAAAACUCUCCGCAAUCGAGAUUGCUCAGUCAAGAACAACACAGAUGUCCGGGUUUAUGUGGCAAAAGGCAAAGUGACAAGGUGGAGCUCAGCUGCCCUCACUGAAUGUAAACCAGCUAGUCAUGGUUGACUAUGGCACAGCUGGGACGUCCCCAUGAAGCCUAAAACGUCAUGUCCAAUCUGGACCACAAGGCGGCGCACCUGGAUGUUCAAAGUGAUUACUGCCAGCUGGGCCUGCAGACAAAUUCUUCCAGAUGUGCUGGGCUCUGAUUGGCUGCCUAUGUUGCUUCCUCACUGACCUCAGUCACUGAGUCUCAUAUUACCUUUCUGAUGCAGAAGGAUUGUAGGUAUAGUGAAUCUUCUCAUGUCAGAGGUGUCUGGUAAGAAUGGAGUAGACAACUAGUCAGACUGGAGGAAAUCAGAUCAGAUCAACUGAUAUAUGUAACUGUAUUACUAUUGCAUCCUUGAUGGCAAAAUGCCAGCAUAUUAGCUGAUGUUAUUAUGUCAUAUUGUGGCUAUGAAUUGCCAGGUAGAUGUUAAUACUUCAGCUGAAGUGAUAUGACACAUAAAAAACACUGACUGGAUAUAAGCAUCUUGGAUUGUAACACAUUAAUGUACAAUAUGCAAAUGUUCUGAGUGGGAUUAUCAUAUAAUUAUCAUAUAUAUAUAAUCUCAAAUAUAAAACAUAUCAUAGUGAAAGCUCAGUUUAUCUUGCCAUUUUAAAUGUCCAUAAUAUCAAAGCUCAGAUAAAUGUUCCACAUGAUGGUACUAUUUGUGGUAAUAUUCUUGAUUCACUUUUGCUAUGGUUGUUAUGUGAGUCUCACUGUCAUUGGCAUCUUGGAAUGAACUCUUGUGAAUGCUUUGCACAAAACAACCCAGCUUUAUAAAAUUUUUAAUAAGGCCACCAUAAGCUUCCAGGUCAGCCCUCCUUGAUAUAGAUUUUAUGUCUUUGAAACUAUUAUUUGAAAGAAUAUUCCUUAAAUUCCUUCAUUUAAAGCUAAUUUCCUUUAACUUUGCUGGGUGUUUCAUGCAUGUUUUCAGCGUGACCCCAAGCAAUCAUGCACCCGCUUUUGUGGAUGUUAAAACGUGUUUCUAAGGUAAAACUAAGUGACAAGUUUAGUUAUGCAACCCACACACACAGACACUAGCAACUGUCUGUAGAGGAGGAUGAGCGCUGGACAGAGUUAGUGAUUAAAGAGGAGGAGCACACACACAUACACAUCUAUGCUCUUUUAACUGAGUAAAGUAAAGAGAGAAAAAGAUUUUAAAUGGUUGAAGGAAGCAGAGAAUGAUGCAGAAAAAGGUUCAGAUACACUGCCCUCUGUGACACUCGCACACACACACACACACACACAGAGGCACUAAUUAAACAGGGCACUGUGCAGACACGUGCAGAGGCAGCAGACAUUUGCAGGAGUGGUUGAGGUUUUCAAAUUGCAGCCUAUAUUCCAGCUGGUUUCUUCUCUUUCUUUGCUCUGAAAACUGGUGCUCCCUCUCCCUGCUCCACUGUGCUCUACUUUGAUCUGCUACACUCCUCCACGCUCUGCCCAGCUCUUCAGAUAUUUUGUCAUGAAAUUACAAGAAAUAAGAAUGCAACAGUGAAGAAUGCUUUAUUUUAUAUCUGCUAUUUCCUAAUAGUUUCUUGCAAAUAACUAUGUAGUUUGGUAGGAAUUACAGAAGAAGAAGUUCUAAAACUGAUU
Monopterus albus (swamp eel) is the source of this 1918-nucleotide long non-coding RNA. RefSeq lists it as uncharacterized. The record is from RefSeq and is a predicted model, not a curated record. The transcript is spliced from 3 exons. Lineage: Eukaryota; Metazoa; Chordata; Actinopteri; Synbranchiformes; Synbranchidae.